UACUACGGCCAUGCCACCCUGAACACGCCCGAUCCCGUCUGAUCUCGAAAGCUAAGCAGGGUCGGGCCUGGUUAGUACUUGGACGGGAGACCCCCUAGGAAGACCAGGUGGUGUAGGUG
This 119-nucleotide ribosomal RNA is filed under the name Pteropus alecto (black flying fox). Lineage: Eukaryota; Metazoa; Chordata; Mammalia; Chiroptera; Pteropodidae. The record is from RNAcentral.